AUUGAACGCUGGCGGCAUGCUUUACACAUGCAAGUCGAACGGUAACAGGUUAAGCUGACGAGUGGCGAACGGGUGAGUAAUGCAUCGGAACGUGCCCGGUCGUGGGGGAUAACGCAGCGAAAGCUGCGCUAAUACCGCAUACGAUCUGAGGAUGAAAGCGGGGGACCGUAAGGCCUCGCGCGAUCGGAGCGGCCGAUGUCGGAUUAGGUAGUUGGUGGGGUAAAGGCUCACCAAGCCGACGAUCUGUAGCUGGUCUGAGAGGACGACCAGCCACACUGGGACUGAGACACGGCCCAGACUCCUACGGGAGGCAGCAGUGGGGAAUUUUGGACAAUGGGCGCAAGCCUGAUCCAGCAAUGCCGCGUGCAGGAAGAAGGCCUUCGGGUAGUAAACUGCUUCUGUACGGAGCGAAAAGGCUCUCUCUAAUACAGGGGGCUCAUGACGGUACCGUAAGAAUAAGCACCGGCUAACUACGUGCCAGCCGCCGCGGUAA
RNAcentral lists this ribosomal RNA (493 nucleotides) under uncultured bacterium. RNAcentral describes it as "partial 16S ribosomal RNA". It matches the Rfam family "Bacterial small subunit ribosomal RNA", at positions 29 to 523 of the family's 1533-position model. The record is from RNAcentral.